AGUGGAUGGGGAGCAACCUAGUUGUGCGUGUGUAACGGUAGUGCCAAGAAAAGCGAUGAUCAUGUUGAAAAUCAAUUCCCGGUACCCGAAACCGACACAGGUGGGCAAGUAGAGAAUACUAAGGGGCGCGAGGUAACUCUCUCCAAGGAACUCGGCAAAAUGACCCCGUAACUUAGGGAGAAGGGGUGCCACCGAGAGGUGGUCGCAGUGAAGAGGCCCAGGCGACUGUUUAGCAAAAACAUAGGUCUCUGCAAACUCGAAAGAGGAGGUAUAGGGGCUGACGCCUGCCCAGUGCCGGAAGGUUAAAGAAGUUGGUCAGUUUUAGGAUGAAGCUAGCGACUGAAGCCCCGGUGAACGGCGGCCGUAACUAUAACGGUCCUAAGGUAGCGAAAUUCCUUGUCGGGUAAGUUCCGACCCGCACGAAAGGCGUAACGAUCUGGGCGCUGUCUCGGAGAGAGGCUCGGCGAAAUAGGAUUGUCUGUGAAGAUACGGACUACCUCCAUUUGGACAGAAAGACCCUAUGAAGCUUUACUAUAGCUUGGAAUUGUGUUCGGGCUUCCUGUGCGCAGGAUAGGUGGGAGGCGUAGAAGGUAUUCUUGUGGGGAUACUGGAGCCAACGGUGAGAUACCACUCUCAGGAGGCUAGAAUUCUAACUUAAUUAAGGACAGUUUCAGGUGGGUAGUUUGACUGGGGCGGUCGCCUCCAAAAAGGUAACGGAGGCGUACAAAGGUCCCCUCAGACUGGUUGGAAAUCAGUCGAAGAGUGCAAAGGCAGAAGGGAGCUUGACUGCGAGAAGUACAGUUCGAGCAGGGUGGAAACACGUCUUAGUGAUCCGACGGUGCUGUGUGGAAGGGCCGUCGCUCAACGGAUAAAAGUUACUCUAAGGAUAACAGGCUGAUCUCCCCCAAGAGUUCACAUCGACGGGGAGGUUUGGCACCUCGAUGUCGGCUCAUCGCAACCUGGGGCGGAAGUACGUCCCAAGGGUUGGGCUGUUCGCCCAUUAAAGCGGUACGUGAGCUGGGUUCAGAACGUCGUGAGACAGUUCGGUCCAUAUCCGAUGUAGGCGUGAGAAUAUUGAGAGGAGCCUUCCUUAGUACGAGAGGACCGGGAAGGACGCACCGCUGGUGUACCUGUUAUGAUGCCAAUUGUAAACGCAGGGUAGCCAAGUGCGGAGAGGAUAACCGCUGAAAGCAUCUAAGUGGGAAGCCCACCUCAAGAUGAGUAUUCUGGUGUAAGGUCACGGGAAGACGACCCGUAAAUAGGCGCGAGGUGGAAGUGCAGAGAUGUAUGAAGCCGAAGUGUACUAAUAGACCGUCGGCUUGACCAA
RNAcentral lists this ribosomal RNA (1327 nucleotides) under metagenome. RNAcentral's name for it is "bacterial LSU rRNA". It matches the Rfam family "Bacterial large subunit ribosomal RNA", at positions 1561 to 2925 of the family's 2925-position model. The record is from RNAcentral.